Molecule: long non-coding RNA, 236 nt
Filed under: Elaeis guineensis (African oil palm)
Lineage: Eukaryota; Viridiplantae; Streptophyta; Magnoliopsida; Arecales; Arecaceae
Description: long non-coding RNA (EGUI_LNC013901)
Source: RNAcentral
CCUUAGCAUCAAGAGUGAUGAAUUGGGAUUCAUCACCAGUCAUGUGUCUCGAGCAUCCACUGUCAAGAUAUCAUUUUCUGUUUCCUCCUUGGGAUGCUAGACACACCUGCAAGCAAAAGUCAAGUUUUUAUUUUAGGUACCCAAGCUUUCUUGGGUCCUUUUUGAUUAGUCAUAAUGGUUCCUUUUGGAACCCAUAUUUUCUUUAUAGUUGAAUUUGCAGAUUUGUUAGAGAAGCA